RNAcentral lists this ribosomal RNA (836 nucleotides) under Nocardia sp. IM-4849. RNAcentral's name for it is "bacterial SSU rRNA". It matches the Rfam family "Bacterial small subunit ribosomal RNA", at positions 38 to 889 of the family's 1533-position model. The record is from RNAcentral. Lineage: Bacteria; Bacillati; Actinomycetota; Actinomycetes; Mycobacteriales; Nocardiaceae.
GGCGGCGUGCUUAACACAUGCAAGUCGAGCGGUAAGGCCCUUCGGGGUACACGAGCGGCGAACGGGUGAGUAACACGUGGGUGAUCUGCCUCGCACUUCGGGAUAAGCCUGGGAAACUGGGUCUAAUACCGGAUAUGACCAGGGACUGCAUGGUUUUUGGUGGAAAGAUUUAUCGGUGCGAGAUGGGCCCGCGGCCUAUCAGCUUGUUGGUGGGGUAAUGGCCUACCAAGGCGACGACGGGUAGCCGGCCUGAGAGGGCGACCGGCCACACUGGGACUGAGACACGGCCCAGACUCCUACGGGAGGCAGCAGUGGGGAAUAUUGCACAAUGGGCGAAAGCCUGAUGCAGCGACGCCGCGUGAGGGAUGACGGCCUUCGGGUUGUAAACCUCUUUCGACAGGGACGAAGCGCAAGUGACGGUACCUGUAGAAGAAGCACCGGCCAACUACGUGCCAGCAGCCGCGGUAAUACGUAGGGUGCGAGCGUUGUCCGGAAUUACUGGGCGUAAAGAGCUUGUAGGCGGUUCGUCGCGUCGUUCGUGAAAACUUGGGGCUCAACCCCAAGCUUGCGGGCGAUACGGGCGGACUAGAGUACUUCAGGGGAGACUGGAAUUCCUGGUGUAGCGGUGAAAUGCGCAGAUAUCAGGAGGAACACCGGUGGCGAAGGCGGGUCUCUGGGAAGUAACUGACGCUGAGAAGCGAAAGCGUGGGUAGCGAACAGGAUUAGAUACCCUGGUAGUCCACGNCGUAAACGGUGGGUACUAGGUGUGGGUUUCCUUCCACGGGAUCCGUGCCGUAGCUAACGCAUUAAGUACCCNGCCUGGGGAGUACGGCCGC